AACGAACGCUGGCGGCAGGCCUAACACAUGCAAGUCGAACGCCCUAGCAAUAGGGAGUGGCAGACGGGUGAGUAACACGUGGGAACCUUCCCUAUAGUACGGAAUAUACCAGGGAAACUUGGAGCAAUACCGUAUACGCCCGAGAGGGGAAAGAUUUAUCGCUAUAGGAUGGGCCCGCGUAGGAUUAGCUAGUUGGUGAGGUAAUGGCUCACCAAGGCGACGAUCCUUAGCUGGUUUGAGAGAACGACCAGCCACACUGGGACUGAGACACGGCCCAGACUCCUACGGGAGGCAGCAGUGGGGAAUAUUGGACAAUGGGCGCAAGCCUGAUCCAGCCAUGCCGCGUGAGUGAUGAAGGCCUUAGGGUUGUAAAGCUCUUUUGCCGGGGACGAUGAUGACGGUAGUGGGAGAAGAAGCCCCGGCUAACUUCGUGCCAGCCGCCGCCGUAAU
This 450-nucleotide ribosomal RNA is filed under the name uncultured bacterium. RNAcentral describes it as "bacterial SSU rRNA". It matches the Rfam family "Bacterial small subunit ribosomal RNA", at positions 29 to 524 of the family's 1533-position model. The record is from RNAcentral.